UUUUCUAAUCACUCUAAACACUCUCAAAUCCUCCCAUAAUCAGCUGCAAAUCUCAAGUUCGAGCAGAUUGUUGCAUCUUCACAAAAUGUUCAAGCAUGAAGCUUGAUGAAUGUAAGGACAAGGUGCUCCAAACUAAUUCAUCUACCAACUUUGCUCUCGGAACUUCAAGUCAAGACUUGUAAACCGUGAGUAUACUCGAUCCCUUUUUCCCCUUUACACUUUGGGAUGCAACAUGUAUACCUAUUCAAAACAACUUUUAUGCUUAAACAAAACGUACUCUAUCUAUGAACGUGACAUGAAACUAUUAUGAAUAUUUGCUAUGCUUGUAUGCUCUAUGAACGAUUUGGAACGUUAUAUGCUCAUUAACUUUGCUAGCUCACCUUAACAAUUAUAGCGCUAUAGGAUUAACGCCCCGCCCGCUAUUCUAAUUGGGUAUUGUUAAGUUAAACAUUACCACCCCGCUGAACGAUUGGGAUUAGGCUAUUUUUGUGCGUUGUAUUCUUGGGUUUGAUCAUAUAGUACGCCAAAAAUUGCAUUGCUAGUAAAUUUAUUCACUAUGUUACAUGUUGGAUAUGAGUUUUUAUUCUAUUAUGCUAUGUAGUCAAACUUGUAUACUCGCCUUUGCUUUUGCAUUGAACUCUAUUUUAAUACAUGUUGCAGGUUAAUUGUUGAAGUAUGGACUAAAGAUGAAACGAGAUUUAGGGUGGACUAGAUACACACCUAGAUUAAUUUAUCUUUUGUUGUUAUGAUCUAUGUUGAAACAAUGUUGUUGUUUUUGUUUGAAUCUUGUUGACUUUAGUAUUGAAAUGAAAUUUGAACUUAAUUAAAUAUUGUCACAUAGUGUUAUGAAGUCUCUAGCAAUCUAUACACACUUCGUCUCAUCCCGAUGUUUCCGCCAUCGGUUGGGGUGUGACAUAUAACAUACCACCACACCUGUAAUGUACCCCCUCUUGAUAUUGUAAAGUCGCAAACUUUAACCCAAAAAAUUAAAAUCAGAACAAGAAUCACAACCUUAAUAGUCAGUUUAACGAAAACCCAAGAAAACCCUAACCCUAAUUGACUCAACAGUCCAAAUUAGCGAUUGUAUUACGUUAAAAUUUGGGAGGUUAAUGAAAGAAAGAAAAUGUAAAACCGGUUGUUAACAGAUGAAGAUGAAAAGUAUUUGAUAUUAGUGAGAUUGUGAGGGGAUGAAGGUUAAGAAUGUGAAUGAAGGGGUUGUGGAAGUUUUGAUUUUGUAUGUGGUCAGAGGCGGUGGUUUUAUUUUAGAGGAUUUAAAGAGGGUUGGGGGGUAGACUGUGACUUGAGAGAGAGAUUGAGAGAGAGAUGGAGGGGGUGGGUAAAUAUUAAAGCUUUGUUCUAAAUUUUAAUUUAAUUAAAUUGGUAAAAAGACUAAACUACCCUUAUAUGAUAGGAUUUAGCUGAAAAUUUUAACCAAGUUAAUGGUAAAGGAUGUAGGGUGUAAUGAAUUUUCCAAAUAAAGGAUCGUGACUGUAAUUAUUGAAGUUAAAUGCUAUUCAUUGCAAUCUGAUACAAACAUAAAGGACGAAAAGUGUAAUUUACCCAUUUAUUUAUUUACUAUAAUAACAAAAACCAUGGCAGGGAACCGUGUUUCCCUGCCAUUGGUUAAAAUGGGCGUCAGCCAAUAGUGUCAGGCAGGUCCAGCAAAAGUACGAUUUUGCCUUGUUUAAAUUUACAGUUUUGCCAUUAGUUUUGUUUUUGUCUCUCCCAGCUAAAUUGCAAUUCUGCCCUCAGUUUAAAUUUACAGUUUUGUCAUCAUUUUUGUUUUUUCUCCCCGUCAAAUUACGAUUUUGCCCCCGGUGUAAAAUUACGGUCAUGCGAUCGUUUUAGUUUUUUUUUUUUUUUUGACAAAACUAUGGUAGUGUUUUGUUUUAAUUGGUUGACUAGGUGUAAUUUUUAUUCGUGCCAGACGGCUGCAUGACACACGCUCAUUUGUCUUGAAAAAAUACAUUUUUCCCUCAGUAAAAUUAUAGUAUUUCCAUCGUUUUAGUUUUUUUUAGCAAAAGUAUGGUAGUUUUUGUUUUAAUUUGUUGACUUGAUGUAAUUUUUUUAUAUCAUGUUAUAAGUAGUAUGUACAAGUAAUCGAAACAUAGACGUACAUGUUACGAGAGAGAAAUAUUCGACUUAGUGCCCCUCAACACGGGCGGGGCAAAAACUAGUUACGUACAAUAACAACAAUCACAUGUCUAGAGAUGCCUACAGUCAAAUCAACAUCAGGAUCUAUUAUAUCAAUCUCGUGUUUGAUCAAUACACCACUAUGAACACAGACGGUUCAAUUCGGGUGUAGCGUCAAGUAAUUCUUUUUUCUACUUGAGGAGCAAGUUCUCGGUUAUGAGCCAACAUAACGCCUAGCGGGUUUCUCGCCUAUCAUGUCAUGAAACAAUCUAAUAAAUACGUUGCAGAUUAUUCGAAACACAUCUAGCGACAAGUCUUACCAUCAAGAAGCAUAAAUGUAAUCGUUUUUGUGAUUUCAACAUAUUGGAAUGCCAAAAGCUUAGAGUUUUCCUAGUUCUUGAUUCAUGGCCAAUCACCAGCUCCAGUACAACUCUUUAAAUAUCAUUACAAGAUAACCAUUUUUUACUUUUAGUUGUUCAUAUCAAAUUUGCUACUUUC
RNAcentral lists this long non-coding RNA (2631 nucleotides) under Helianthus annuus (common sunflower). RNAcentral describes it as "hypothetical non coding rna". The record is from RNAcentral. Lineage: Eukaryota; Viridiplantae; Streptophyta; Magnoliopsida; Asterales; Asteraceae.